CAGCCGCCGCGGUAAUACAGAGGGUGCGAGCGUUAAUCGGAUUUACUGGGCGUAAAGCGUGCGUAGGCGGCUUUUUAAGUCGGAUGUGAAAUCCCUGAGCUUAACUUAGGAAUUGCAUUCGAUACUGGGAAGCUAGAGUAUGGGAGAGGAUGGUAGAAUUCCAGGUGUAGCGGUGAAAUGCGUAGAGAUCUGGAGGAAUACCGAUGGCGAAGGCAGCCAUCUGGCCUAAUACUGACGCUGAGGUACGAAAGCAUGGGGAGCAAACAGGAUUAGAUACCCCUGUAGUCCCUGUCUCUUAUAU
This 301-nucleotide ribosomal RNA is filed under the name uncultured bacterium. Its description in RNAcentral is "partial 16S ribosomal RNA". It matches the Rfam family "Bacterial small subunit ribosomal RNA", at positions 509 to 809 of the family's 1533-position model. The record is from RNAcentral.